CCUACGGGUGGCAGCAGUGAGGAAUAUUGGUCAAUGGUCGGGAGACUGAACCAGCCAAGCCGCGUGAGGGAGGAAGGUACAGAGUAUCGUAAACCUCUUUUGUCAGGGAACAAAGGCGGGGACGUGUCCCCGGAUGAGUGUACCUGAAGAAAAAGCAUCGGCUAACUCCGUGCCAGCAGCCGCGGUAAUACGGAGGAUGCGAGCGUUAUCCGGAUUUAUUGGGUUUAAAGGGUGCGCAGGCGGUUGGUUAAGUCAGUGGUAAAAGCCCGGGGCUCAACCCCGGCCCGCCGUUGAAACUGGCAGUCUCGAGUUGGAGAGAGGUAUGCGGAAUGCGCGGUGUAGCGGUGAAAUGCAUAGAUAUCGCGCAGAACUCCGAUUGCGAAGGCAGCAUGCCGGCUCCACACUGACGCUGAGGCACGAAAGCGUGGGUAUCGAACAGGAUUAGAUACCCGAGUAGUC
Molecule: ribosomal RNA, 459 nt
Filed under: uncultured bacterium
Lineage: Bacteria
Description: partial 16S ribosomal RNA
Rfam family: Bacterial small subunit ribosomal RNA
Source: RNAcentral